RNAcentral lists this ribosomal RNA (840 nucleotides) under uncultured bacterium. Its description in RNAcentral is "bacterial SSU rRNA". It matches the Rfam family "Bacterial small subunit ribosomal RNA", at positions 59 to 895 of the family's 1533-position model. The record is from RNAcentral.
AAGUCGAACGGUAACAGGACUUCGGUCGCUGACGAGUGGCGCACGGGUGAGUAACGCGUGGAUAUCUGCCUAUCAGUGGGGGACAACUACGGGAAACCGUAGCUAAUACCGCAUACGCUGUACGCAGGAAAGCAGGGGACCUUCGGGCCUUGUGCUGAUAGAUGAGUCCGCGUCUGAUUAGCUGGUUGGUGGGGUAAAGGCCUACCAAGGCGAUGAUCAGUAACUGGUUUGAGAGGAUGAUCAGUCACACUGGAACUGAGACACGGUCCAGACUCCUACGGGAGGCAGCAGUGGGGAAUAUUGCACAAUGGGCGCAAGCCUGAUGCAGCGACGCCGCGUGCGGGAAGAAGGCCUUCGGGUUGUAAACCGCUUUCAAUUGGGAAGAAGGGAUGAGAGUUAAUACCUCUCUGACUUGACGGUACCUUUAGAAGAAGCACCGGCUAAUUUCGUGCCAGCAGCCGCGGUAAUACGAAAGGUGCAAGCGUUGUUCGGAUUUACUGGGCGUAAAGAGAUCGUAGGUGGCUUGUUAAGUCGGGUGUGAAAUCCCAGGGCUCAACCCUGGAACUGCACUCGAUACUGGCUGGCUAGAGUUCGGGAGGGGGAAGCGGAAUUCCGUGUGUAGCAGUGAAAUGCGUAGAUAUACGGAGGAACACCUGAGGCGAAGGCGGCUUCCUGGACCGAUACUGACACUGAGGAUCGAAAGCGUGGGUAGCAAACAGGAUUAGAUACCCUGGUAGUCCACGCCCUAAACGAUGUCUACUAGCCGUUGCGGGUAUCGACCCCUGCAGUGGCGCAGCUAACGCGAUAAGUAGACCGCCUGGGGAGUACGGUCGCAAGAUU